Molecule: transfer RNA, 89 nt
Filed under: Hwanghaeella grinnelliae
Lineage: Bacteria; Pseudomonadati; Pseudomonadota; Alphaproteobacteria; Rhodospirillales; Aestuariispiraceae
Description: tRNA-Ser
Rfam family: tRNA
About the family: Transfer RNA (tRNA) molecules are approximately 80 nucleotides in length.
Source: RNAcentral
GGAGAGAUGGCAGAGUGGUAAUGCAGCGGAUUGCUAAUCCGUGACCGUCUUAAAGCGGUCCCCGGGUUCGAGUCCCGGUCUCUCCGCCA